This 1112-nucleotide long non-coding RNA is filed under the name Phoenix dactylifera (date palm). RNAcentral's name for it is "long non-coding RNA (PDAC_LNC008480)". Lineage: Eukaryota; Viridiplantae; Streptophyta; Magnoliopsida; Arecales; Arecaceae. The record is from RNAcentral.
CUAACUAUUUGAUGAAAAAAUGUCUAAGAGUGUAUGGACAACUAAGAAACGUAAUGUUAUGGCUUAUGCAACUGUAAUUGAUUCAUGUGGUGUCGAUUUCCAUAUUACAACAUAGUCCAACUUUAAAUUAAUGAAAAAAGUGCUGCCGAAAGCUUACCUUCUUCCACAUGGAUACAGCUGCUAUCACUUUAGCUUUUGGAGGAGAAUGGAAGAGUUCGCCUCUCGACAUCUUGUUUGUUUGGUAAGUGGGAUUUUGACCUAGGUGCCGUAGUGUUGCCUAACCAUUUGGCUGUAGAUGUUGAAUGUGAGAUCUUUAGCUACUUGUACCCAUUUGCUACCGUGUGGUUAGAUACAAUGCACUGGCAGGAUGGGAGUUAAUUAGGGUCAAGGGAGCAGGGAAGAGUUUGUUAUUCGCUAUUGGUUUGUGAGGAUGAUAGUGGUAUUUUGAUAAUUAAUACAACCAUUAAGGAAAUAUCUAAUUAAAUAUUACAAAGUAAUAUAAUACAUCAUUACUAAGUUUGUCACCGACGGUACAUUAAAAGAAUGAAAUCAAGAUGUAUUUCAAUGAUUAAUAAUGAGAUAAAAUUUGCGAUAGAAAAGAGAUAGUGAAUUCUAAAUUCCAAUUCGGCAAAGUUUCAAGUGAAACGUACUCUUAAGGGGACAAUAGUAAUUUUCAUUGUUAAGAGUAUGUAGCAAUACCAUGGCAUACAUUCAAAAUUGCUUGAAGUAUAUUUCAUUGAUUAUUUGGAUGAAUCUAACCUUAAGCUGCAGCAAAGUGUGGAAUGAGUUGACCCCAAGAUUGAUGGAGUCGACCCCGAUACAUCAUGGAACCAUCAGGCACACUUCUGCAAAAAUGGCACGGAUGAACAGUAGUUGAGUCGACCCCAUCUUCAAGCCUCAAGAAAACAAGUCUCUGGAAUCCCUGAGAGGGUCGACCCCAAUAUAACUUGAGUCGACCCCACCUUGAGUCGACCCCAACUGAACAUGAGUCGACCCCAAGGUUGUCUCAUUCAUAAACUGGUUGUCUGGAAUCUCUGAGAGGGUCGACCCCAAUAUAACUUGAGUCAACCCCAACUAAACAUGAGUCGACCCCAAGGCUGUGUCAAUCAAAA